GCUCUUACAUCGAUGAAGAACGUAGCAAAAUGCGAUACUUGGUGUGAAUUGCAGAAUCCCGUGAACCAUCGAGUCUUUGAACGCAAGUUGCGCCCGAAUCCAUUUGGUUGAGGGCACGUCUGCCUGGGUGUCACGU
RNAcentral lists this ribosomal RNA (136 nucleotides) under Saxifraga oppositifolia subsp. amphibia. Its description in RNAcentral is "partial 5.8S ribosomal RNA". It matches the Rfam family "5.8S ribosomal RNA", at positions 24 to 154 of the family's 154-position model. Rfam says of the family: 5.8S ribosomal RNA (5.8S rRNA) is a component of the large subunit of the eukaryotic ribosome. It is transcribed by RNA polymerase I as part of the 45S precursor that also contains 18S and 28S rRNA. Lineage: Eukaryota; Viridiplantae; Streptophyta; Magnoliopsida; Saxifragales; Saxifragaceae. The record is from RNAcentral.